This 6957-nucleotide long non-coding RNA is filed under the name Lactuca sativa (garden lettuce). Its description in RNAcentral is "long non-coding RNA (LSAT_LNC001189)". Lineage: Eukaryota; Viridiplantae; Streptophyta; Magnoliopsida; Asterales; Asteraceae. The record is from RNAcentral.
CACAAGCCUAGAAAUGAGUUUAUAUGGGACAUAUGAGGGAUUUAUGGAGUUUACGGCCCAUGAAACCCCCUUCAUGGCCGUAAACUCUAUUAUAUGGUGCUACAAGGUGUUUCAAGGUCUAAAACUUGCAUAGAAUGGCUUCUAAAAUUCAUCUAAGGGCCUUAGGGGUGUUUAGUUUGCAUUCUAACACCAAAAAUUUUGGAGUUUACGGCCCAAGAACAGGUCUUGGCCGUAAACUCUUAGAAAUCCCAUGAAUGAUGUGUUUAAGGCCCUUAAAGUAUUUUUGGUUGGUCCCUUGAUUUAUUCCAAGGCUUUUGGUGGUGUUGGAUGGCUUUCUAACACCUUAGAAUUGGAUUUAUGCCAAGUUUUGGGGAGUUUACGGCCCAAGCACUAUCCUUGGCCGUAAACUCAUCUAAGUCCCCCAAAAAUCAUGUUUCAAGUGUCCAAAUGCUAUUACCAAGGUCCUAUAAUUCAUAUCUAAGCCAUAGAGGUGAUUUGGAAGGGUUUAAAGGCAUGAAAAACCCCAUUAACAUGAGUUUACGGCCCAAGCUUAUGCCUUGGCCGUAAACUCCUUCAAAGUCCUCAAAAUCAUAGUUUUAAGUGUUCUAAGUCCAUAUCUUGAAGUCCCUUAGCCAUAUCUAAAGUCCAAUUGAGUUUAGGAAGGAGUUUAAGGGCUAAAAACCCUUCAAAAUGGUGUUUACGGCCUAGGCAGCCUCCUGGGCCGUAAACUCACAUAUAUUGUCCAAUUUCAUGAUUAAGUGUCUAAUUUGGAAGCUAAACAUGCUAUAGAUUAAGGCUAGGAAGGUACCUUAAGGAUUUGAAGCCUUAAAUUUGAGUUUUGGACACUUAAUCUUUGGAUUUAGGAGAGAGGUUAGAGAGAGAGUAGAGAGAGAAGGAAAAAGCUUCAAAUGAGUGCUAAAACAUGUUUAUAUAGUCCCUAAAACUUGGACACGGUGGAAUUCUACCCGAUACCGGCCUUAAACGAUGCUUUGGGUCGCACCCGAUUGAGUUUCCGUCACCCGACGAGGAUAUUUCUAAAACUUAUGAAAUAAAUGUUUUGGGCUAAAUUCAUGAGUUCCUAAAUGAUUUGGACCCUCAUUGAAUGAAAAUAAAUAUAUAAUUUUAGUUAACUAAGCCCAAAAACGAUAACGGGACAUUUCGAUUUCCGACGAGUUAUUCGGGUAGAACGGGUUUUCGGCGAUGAACAACUUCGGGUUGUUACAUUAUCCCCCCGUUAGAGGGAAUUUCGUCCCGAAAUUCAAAGAAUAAGAUAUAGGUUAUGGAUUGGAAUGAGAUACGGAUGGAUUUGUUGCUUCGGAUCUUCACUUUCUCAAGUGGAAUCAAGUCUCUAUUGGGCGUUCUAACGAAUUCUCAUUAUCGGAACAUGCCUUGGUUUCGCUUCUUGACUCUCUCUCAAUUUACGAUAUCAAUCUGCUUUCUCGUGGAAGCUCCAACCCUGAAUGACUUCGGUUUCCUCAAAGGAAUCACUAGGGUUUCGUUGGGCAGACGUUUCUAAGGAUUCGAGACGUGAUGGUCUAGAUAGAUAUUACCAAGCUCUAAGGGCAUCCGAAACCUGAAGGUUGCUGAAUCGAUCUCUACGAAGAUCUCGAAAGGUUUGAUGUGAGACUAAACUAGAUGCUCGAAAGAAACUCCCGGGAAUCCUUCGGGAUAGACAUUUAGAGGGAAUAGCUGCUAACUUCCCGUUUCUCAAUAAUCACAGAAACGAGGGAUGCGUGGUAAUUCACAUUGGGAAAACUUUUGAGUUCUAAGGCAUAGAAUGAUACGAAAGUUUGAUGCCGAAGAUCACGAGAACAGGGUCGAGGAAAAAUCUAGACGAGCGACCCUUUCGAAAGUAAAGAUAACAACAUGAAUGAGACUCGGUCAUUUCUGGUUAAACAUGGCAUCAAAGUAUUUUCAUGGAAAGUUUCCCCCUUUUUAAAUCGAAUGGAACAGAAUAGUCCUCCGGACUGAGGAUUCAAUCUAUAGGUACGAAGUUAGUGUUCUCUAUCUCACUAGUUAGUCGUCUCGACGGUAUACAUUUCGAUUACAUGCGAAGGAUUGAGUUUAGAAUACGUUCGAAUAGAUAGAUAACAGGUUUCCCUUUUGCACCCAAAAUCGAAAAGAGUUGCAAGUAUAAGAAUUAUCAAAGAGAGAUAUACCUGCGGCAGCAGAGGGAUUUGUGGUUGUAGCUGUCUUGGGACAAUUCCUUUUGAAGUGCCCAGCUUCACCACAAUUGUAGCAGGCCGGACUGAUUCCCGCUCCGGAUGAUUGGUUCGUUGGCUUGGCUGGUUUUCUGCAGGUUCGCGCAAGAUGGCCCUUAUUGCCACAGUUGUCGCAGAUCCUUUCGCGACAUGGACCAGGAAUGCGGUGGUGGUAGUUACACUUACCACACCAAGGAAGGGUACCAGUGUAUCCACUGGCGGGAGUUUGGGCUGUGGAACCGACAGCUGAAACAGCAACAGGGGCAGUAGCAGCAUGGACUGCUACCGUUUGCUGUUUCUUAGAAGACCCUUGCGUACUCUGGGCCUUCCGCUUGUUCCAGGAUUUCUUUUUACUUCCGCCUCCACUAGUGACUGGCUCGGGGGUAGUAGCUUCUUCAUCAGAGUUGUCUUCGUGAUCUAUCAGGAUUUUCGCAAGGCACUUAGCACUGUCAUAUGUGUCUGGCUUCGCAGCCAAGACAUUCCCCUUUGUUGGCUGGGUCAACCCCCAGAUGAACCUCUCUAUCUUUUUACUCUCCGGGGUAACCAUUCCCGGACAAAGUAAUGCCAGAUCAUCGAAUCUUGAGGUAUAAGCAGCUAUGUCGGAACCCUUCAUCUUAAGGUUCCAAAGUUCGUGUUCUAGCUUCUGAAGUUCGCCCCGAGGGCAAUACUCUGCGAGAAGAAGCUCCUUCAUAGCUUCCCAACCCAUAGCAUUGGCUACAGGUAAAGUUAAGGAUUUGACUCGGCCAUUCCACCAAGUCAGGGCUUUGUCUAGGAAGGUACAGGCGGCAAACUUGACUCUAUCAGACUCCGAACAGCCACAUAUUUCAAAGAUUGAUUCGAUUCUCUCGAACCAUCGGGUUAAGGCAAUGACACCCCCUGUGCCAUCGAAGAAUGUCGGUUUUGCGUUCAUGAAGUCUUUAUAGGAACCCCCUUUUUGGUGUCCCUGGCUAUCAUCUGGGUUUUGGGUUUCACCUCCCGAACCCCUAGAGUUCAGUUGAGGUAAGAGAGCUGAUAUGGUAGCGGAAAUGGUUGCCUGAAGUGUUUCCAAAUCGAUCUGAAUAGGAGGUGGUGGCGGAGGAGGAUUGUUGUUGUUCGUUGAGCUGGGUCUCUUUCUUGGAGGCAUCUUGAUCUAAAAAGAUCAGGAAAGAGAGGAUCAUAAGUCCUCUGAAUUGAAUCAAGAGAUAUGGGACAGGAGAUAUCUCAUCAAGGCAAAUAUAGCAUCAUACAAAGCGAUAAAGCAGAAAGGAGUUAUCAAGAUAGAACAUUUUAUCGCUAGAGGAAUGAUCAAGGAAUAACGCGUAUACGAGAAUUUCUACAAAGGAUCGGCUCGAGAAAUACUCCCAUAGUAUUUCAUGGUUCGCUGCAGCGACGAUUUGUUGUUUGGGAUAUUGGGUAAGUUUUAGGUAUGCCGCAUGCCACAGUCACUCCCAAGCACAUGUUGGCCGUGUCUCGAAUGAAUAUAGUUGGCCAGGCUAUAUUGACCCUAGACACGACUACAUAACUGCCCAGGUUUAACCGCAGUGUACAACACCCAUUUACUUAUGUUUUGUUCUACUUGUAGUUACGGAUUUCGACGGCUCGGCAUACUUAAAUACUUUUGAAAAUACUUAUAUUUUGUAGGAUACUUUUAGUUCAGAGCACUUAGGCCCCUUAAUGUUUAUAGUUUUAUACCAUGUAAGGUUUGGUAUACUCUGUUCACUAUAAACAAGGGCUCUGAUACCAAUCUGUCACACCCCGAAAACCAAAGGCGGAAACGUUCCCGGGGUUGACUCCAUGUUGUGUAUCAAAUCCAAUGUACAUAGUAAUCACAGUAAACAACCAUUACAUUACAUAUAUAUGAAAGUUUACAUUUGGUUCAAAAGUAAAUUGUACAAAAGUUAUACAUAUAUCAUAUGAACAAAAGAGACGAGUCUUCGGAGCACUCCAUCUUCACCAAAAGAUAUCGCCGGGUACCUGUCUAACUUGGACCUGAGAAUACAAGCAGUUUGAAAAUCAGCAUAAAGCUGGUGAGUUCAUAAGCGGUUUUGUUUUGUGAAAAUGUAUCGAUUUCCUUUAGUUUUCUGAAAAGAUUUGAUAUCCAAGAAAAUCCCAUAUUUUCUUAUGUAAAGUAGUUAAGUUAUCUUUCAUUACAGUUCUGUUACAAGUUAUAAGUUAACCCCAGGAAAAUCCCAUAUUUUCCUAAAUGCAAGAUUGAUUGAAUAACACAUAGUAUAGUUUAAUAUACAAAACUAUAAUUUAGACGAACUGUAGAUAGAAAGUAUUUUGAAAACCUUGGGACUAACAUCCCGAACCAGUUAUAAGAUAAUUCGAUAAAGACCAUGGGAUCACUAUCCCGAAAAUAGAUAUAAGAUAGCUUGAUAAACCAUGGGAUCACUAUCCCGAAACUAGAUAUAAGAUAGCUUGAUAAAAUCAUGGGAUUAUCAUCCCGUAUAAGAUUUAGUUUCAAAACCAUGGGAUUGCCAUCCCGAACGAAAUAUAGACACAAGAUCAUGGGAUUAUCAUCCCGAACGAGAUAUAGACAUAAAACCAUGGGAUUACCAUCCCGAACGAGAUAUAGAUUACAAGACCAUGGGAUUACCAUCCCGAACAAGAUAUAGAUUCUAAACAAAUCCUAGCUGUGAAUAAGUUUAUAUUAAUACGUAUUGUGAGUCGGGUAACCAUACUGAUAUGACAACGAGACCUCCUUGACGUUAGUCAGACGUCGAAUGAUAUCCAGAAUUUGUCACCCCAGGCGUGCCCGCCUAACUGUAGCUAGCAGUUAAGGUGUGGGAUUGUCAGUCCCGAAUAGAUCUAUUCACAAAUUCCUCGCUCUCCCUCCAGGAGACUCUGGUUACACUUCCGGAGAGGAUUUACUUGAUCAUCCAUAAAGGGUAGUGACUAUCUCACAAGCUAGUAUUAAACUAUUCACAGGAUUCUCAUACGAUUACAAACAUACAUAGACUUUAAGACAUGAUACAGUGAAAAAUAGAUACAUACAAUGAAAUUAUCUGGCAAAAACAUUCGAAUGAUACGGAGAUAAACUGAAUCAGACAUAGUUUAUCUAAUAACUUAAUACAGAUAUCAGUACAUGAUAUAAAGAGAAACAUAGAACCCCAAAUUAUUCCCAUAAUAAUUUGAUUAGUUUGGUUAUUUUCUUAACUAAAAUCCAUUUAGUUGUAAUUGAUAAAUCAUUCCUUAUGCUCAACAUAAUACAUAAGGAGUAAAAGAGUUUAUAAGUUUGCCAGAUAUUAUUUGAAACACAUAAAUGUUAUGAUUUGAAAACAGUUUUGGUUUGCUUGUAUUCCCCCCUGAAAACAGUUAAAAACAGUGAAAAAGGCGUAGGGGUAUGAACUCACCGGACGAGAAGUAUGACGAUUUGGAUGCUAAGAGUUGAUCCGGGGCUUGUAAAUACACGAGGUUCCUAAUUAUAAUGUAAAGAUACACAUUUGUAUCUAAUUAGGACUUAGAUUGAUUGUUGGAUAGGGACAAUUGCUUCUAGUCGCGAAAACACUCCGAUACGAGUGUUUGGAGGGACCCGGGUGGCGUUUAAGGAUGUGAAAUGACACUAGGGACUUGGGACUUGAGUUUACUCCCCAUGAGUAAACUUUUAAAUGAGUUUACAACCACAAAACACACACAUACAUGAGUUUACGGCCGUAAACUCAUGUGGGUGUGGUUUUGGGUGUUUAAAUGGCUUAAAUGGCUUACAUGGACAUGGGAAAUGUUUCUAGGUUUUGUUCUAAAUGCAUGGAAUGGAUUAAAAUCACCAAAAUGAUUAAUUUAUGGGAGUUUACGGCCUAGCAUAGGCUCCUGGCCGUAAACUCCUUAAUCCUUAUGAAAAUGAUGCUAAAUGUUGUUAAAACCAAUCACAUGUGAUUCUAAAAAUUCCCACAAGCCUAGAAAUGAGUUUGUAUGGGACAUAUGAGGGAUUUAUGGAGUUUACGGCCCAUGAAACCCCCUUCAUGGCCGUAAACUCUAAUAUAUGGUGCUCCAAGGUGUUUCAAGGUCUAAAACUUGCAUGAAAGGACUUCUAAAAUUCAUCUAAGGGCCUUAGGGGUGUUUAGUUUGCAUUCUAACACCAAAAAUUUUGGAGUUUACGGCCCAAGAACAAGCCUUGGCCGUAAACUCUUAGAAAUCCCACAAAUGAUGUGUUUAAGGCCCUUAAAGUAUUUUUGGUUGGUCCCUUGAUUUAUUCCAAGGCUUUUGGUGGUGUUGGAUGGCUUUCUAACACCUUAGAAUUGGAUUUAUGUCAAGUUUUGGGGAGUUUACGGCCCAAGCACUCACCUUGGCCGUAAACUCAUCUAAAUCCCCCAAAAUUCAUGUUUCAAGUGUCCAAAUGCUAAAACCAAGGUCCUAUAAUUCAUAUCUAAGCCAUAGAAGUGAUUUGGAAGGGUUUAAGGGCAUGAAAAACCCCAUUAACAUGAGUUUACGGCCCAAGCUUAUGCCUUGGCCGUAAACUCCUUCAAAGUCCUCAAAAUCAAAGUUUUAAAUGUUCUAAGUCCAUAUCUUGAAGUCCCUUAGCCAUAUCUAAAGUCCAAUUGAGUCUAGGAAGGAGUUUAAGGGCUAAAAACCCUUCAAAAUGGUGUUUACGGCCUAGGCAGCCUCCUGGGCCGUAAACUCACAUAUAUUGUCCAAUUUCAUGAUUAAAUGUCAAAUUUGGAAGCCAAACAUGCUAUAGAUUAAGGCUAGGAAGGUACCUUAAGGAUUUGAGGCCUUAAAAUUGAGUUUUGGACACUUAAUCUUUGGAUUUAGGAGAGAGGUUAGAGAGAGAGUAGAG